GAGCAACUUAGGAUUUUAGGCUCAUCCCGUCUGCGCUCGAAGGCAGGCGGGGUACAAACCCUGCGGGCCUGGCGGUGCCGCAGAGGUCAAAAUCUAUCCGCCGGAG
This 106-nucleotide non-coding RNA is filed under the name uncultured Faecalibacterium sp. RNAcentral's name for it is "PreQ1-III riboswitch". It matches the Rfam family "PreQ1-III (pre queuosine) riboswitch aptamer". Lineage: Bacteria; Bacillati; Bacillota; Clostridia; Eubacteriales; Oscillospiraceae. The record is from RNAcentral.